GACGAACCGUGCGAACGUUAUUCGGAAUCACUGGGCUUAAAGGGCGCGUAGGCGGGCAUUCAAGUCAGGGGUGAAAUCCCACGGCUCAACCGUGGAAGUGCCUUUGAUACUGACUGUCUCGAGGGAGGUAGGGGCGUGCGGAACUUCCGGUGGAGCGGUGAAAUGCGUAGAUAUCGGAAGGAACACCGGUGGCGAAAGCGGCGCGCUGGACCUCUACUGACGCUGAGGCGCGAAAGCCAGGGGAGCAAACGGG
This 253-nucleotide ribosomal RNA is filed under the name uncultured bacterium. RNAcentral describes it as "partial 16S ribosomal RNA". It matches the Rfam family "Bacterial small subunit ribosomal RNA", at positions 524 to 776 of the family's 1533-position model. The record is from RNAcentral.